RNAcentral lists this long non-coding RNA (260 nucleotides) under Mustela putorius furo (domestic ferret). RNAcentral describes it as "lncRNA (ENSMPUG00000030040.1)". Lineage: Eukaryota; Metazoa; Chordata; Mammalia; Carnivora; Mustelidae. The record is from RNAcentral.
GCAGGAAAUAAGUAUCUGUUGUCAUAAUGCCGUAGCGCAACCUUGCCCACACUGACUGACACAGGAGGGGCGGAGGGAGUGUGGCAUCUGUGUCCCAUCUAAGUCAGACGCCUGCAGGUCAGCCCGAGUCCACGCCAGGUGGUAGCUGCCUCCAGAAAACCUUAUGAAGUCGCAGCUCUGAAGAAGCAAUCAGGUUCCUGGAGCUUCAGAGGACUCCUGGCAGACAGAGAUACCCAAGCAGAGGAGAGGGGAGACCCCAG